This 881-nucleotide long non-coding RNA is filed under the name Oryza sativa Indica Group (long-grained rice). RNAcentral describes it as "lncRNA OsZS97_05G016790". The record is from RNAcentral. Lineage: Eukaryota; Viridiplantae; Streptophyta; Magnoliopsida; Poales; Poaceae.
AAAGAAUUCAACAUUUCAACUUCUGGAGGACUCCGACCGCCGUGCCUCUUCAUCGUCGGUGCCCUAGGUUCUCCACGCCCAUUGCCCAUUACUAAUCCGGCACUGCUAGCUCAGGUAUACGCCACGAAACCCACUCCUACGCCAAGGUAUCCACCACUCGCGCGCGGCGCGCGCACGCUCGCCGGCGACGGCAGCGCGGGGUGCUCCUUGUGUUGGGCGCGCUCGGCGAAGGUGUGGCGGUGUGGCGCAUGGAGGUUCAGCGGGAGACCGGGCGUUCCUGGCACACGCGGCCGUGUUUGGCGGAGCUCGCGCGCGCUCAUGGCGUUGUCAUGGGGGUGGUUUUCUCGUGUUCAGGUUCAGGCACGAAGGGGGCGCCGCGUAACUCGCCGUGAAGGUGUUAGAUCAGAUGCCCCUCUCAGGGCGAAGGUGGCUACUCUGGCAACUUAUCAAUUCAACUGUCGCAACAAACAACUGUUUUGUGAAGUUGACACUUCGGCAGAUUUGAUUAAUAACAAGACAAAUGCAGCUGUUAGAAGGCCACGGUUCAUCAGAGUUCUGCUCCCUGGAUCCUUCGCAAAGAUGCCCGGCGAGAAAAAGGAUGGAAAGGGCCUGAAUGACAGGCUAUGGAAGCCUCAUGCAAUACCAUCUCACAAUGCAAACCAGGACUUGAUGCAUGCGCUUCCACGGGCUUCCCACAAGCUGCACAAUCACACUAAAAACGAAGAGCCAUUUCACAACAUGGAAGAAGGCGAUUUUGGUCACAGCCCAUAAACUCCCGUUGCUGACAAACAAACUUCAGGCUUCAUGUAUUCACAGCAGUACAAAGCAACACGCCUACAAUUUCUAUCCAAAAUGGCACAAUUUCAGCUCAUCAGAUUAAG